CAAUGAAUAACAAGUUCUAUUGAGAUUGCUCCCCAUGUCAUCGAAGAAGCCAGAAUGAACAAGUCUUAAGCCCCCGUUGAGGUUUAGACUUGAGAUGUCAAGGUAGAUCAGUUUUGUUAGCAAUGUGAAACUAGAGGUGCCAUUUACCUUGAUAAGAAUCUAGCCUUGUGUAAGCAGUUUUGAAGAUACUUUACAGAAAAUGGUAGCCUCAUUGGCCAGAGAAGUGCUAAAAGAAUGUGAAACAAUCUUUACCCUCCCCUUAUCUUAUUCUUUGCUUCAUUUAUCUUGUGCUACUACAUACCUUUCUCUUUAUCCUUCCUAAUUUACUCAUCAUAUCGUUUUUGAUUUCGAAUCCAUACUACUAUGUACAAUAUUUAGAUGAUCAUCAAUUUGUGUCACCACUCAGC
This 407-nucleotide long non-coding RNA is filed under the name Glycine max (soybean). RNAcentral describes it as "long non-coding RNA (GMAX_LNC000246)". Lineage: Eukaryota; Viridiplantae; Streptophyta; Magnoliopsida; Fabales; Fabaceae. The record is from RNAcentral.